GUCUACGGCCAUACCACCCUGAAAGCGCCUGAUCUCGGAAACUAAGAAGGGUCAGGCCUGGUUAGUACGUGGAUGGGAGAAGUCCAGUUUUGAGAUGACACACAAUAAUGAGACGAAAAACAGACACCAAAGACA
Molecule: ribosomal RNA, 135 nt
Filed under: Microcebus murinus (gray mouse lemur)
Lineage: Eukaryota; Metazoa; Chordata; Mammalia; Primates; Cheirogaleidae
Source: RNAcentral